Molecule: ribosomal RNA, 467 nt
Filed under: uncultured bacterium
Lineage: Bacteria
Description: bacterial SSU rRNA
Rfam family: Bacterial small subunit ribosomal RNA
Source: RNAcentral
CGUCCAGACUCCUACGGGAGGCAGCAGUGAGGAAUAUUGGUCAAUGGGAGGAAUCCUGAACCAGCCAUGCCGCGUGCAGGACGACGGCUCUACGAGUUGUAAACUGCUUUUGUACCGGGGUAAAAUGCCUUACGAGUAGGGUUUUGAAAGUACGGUACGAAUAAGGAUCGGCUAACUCCGUGCCAGCAGCCGCGGUAAUACGGAGGAUCCGAGCGUUAUCCGGAUUCAUUGGGUUUAAAGGGUGCGUAGGUGGUUUUAUAAGUUAGCGGUGAAAUACCGAUGCUCAACAUCGGGGCUGCCGCUAAUACUGUAGGACUAGAGAUCGGAUGCAGCAGGCGGAAUGUGUAGUGUAGCGGUGAAAUGCAUAGAUAUCGCGCAGAACCCCGAUUGCGAAGGCAGCGUGCCGUGCCGCCACUGACGCUGAGGCACGAAAGCGCGGGGAUCGAACAGGAUUAGAUACCCCAGUA